AAAGAGACUCGUGGCCAACACGUGUCCUGCUGCUCCUGGGGUCCUUCCCAGCAGCCAGAGCUGAGCAUCUGAAAGCAGGUGACACAGGGAACACAAUUAGAAGGAAAUGCAGCAAGGCCAGUGAGAUCAACUCUCCUAGAGGACUCUUCUUAGGGCUAGAAGGAAGAAGCUUGAGGGUGGAACAAACUGUCUCUCAAGAAGAGUCUAUCUGUCACUGGUGACUGAGUGCUUGAUUUAGAGCAGAUGCCCUGCUUUUAAAUAGAUGGCUCAAAAUAGAUGUUUGAUUGCUGUUCCAUAUUUAGCAUGAAGCACAGCCAUACGUGGAAGAUUUGCUCUAUAUCCAAGCAGAAGAAGAGUUUGGAAGAGGCCUUAUGAUGCUGCUGGAACCGUGGCUGGUGUCUUUUCUAGGGCCCUUAGGAGACUGUUUGUCAGGAGCUCCCCCAUGGACAGCAAAGGAAAAUUUGCCAUUUUCUUGAAUUAGGCCUGCAAUGGGGCCCUGGUUGAACAAGAAAUGUCUGGCUGACAGUGCAGCAGCUUAGAAACUGAAGCGAGUUCAAAAGUUCCUAACAACACUUCCAAACAAGCACUUUGGGAAGACAAUG
Molecule: long non-coding RNA, 602 nt
Organism: Vidua chalybeata
Lineage: Eukaryota; Metazoa; Chordata; Aves; Passeriformes; Viduidae
Exons: 4
Source: RefSeq, a predicted model, not a curated record